RNAcentral lists this ribosomal RNA (437 nucleotides) under Achondrostoma oligolepis. RNAcentral's name for it is "partial 12S ribosomal RNA". It matches the Rfam family "Bacterial small subunit ribosomal RNA", at positions 770 to 1406 of the family's 1533-position model. Lineage: Eukaryota; Metazoa; Chordata; Actinopteri; Cypriniformes; Leuciscidae. The record is from RNAcentral.
AACUGGGAUUAGAUACCCCACUAUGCUCAGCUGUAAACCUAGACGUUCUACUACAAUUAAACGUCCGCCCGGGUACUACGAGCAUUAGCUUGAAACCCAAAGGACCUGACGGUGCCUUAGACCCCCCUAGAGGAGCCUGUUCUAGAACCGAUAACCCCCGUUAAACCUCACCGCUUCUAGCCACCCCAGCCUAUAUACCGCCGUCGUCAGCUUACCCUGUGAAGGCAACAAAAGUAAGCAGAAUGGGCACAACCCAGAACGUCAGGUCGAGGUGUAGCGUACGGAGCGGGAAGAAAUGGGCUACAUUUUCUAUUAACAGAACACUACGGACAUGCAACAUGAAAUAGUGCUUGAAGGAGGAUUUAGUAGUAAAGAGGAAGCAGAGUGUCCUUUUGAACCCGGCUCUGAGGCGCGUACACACCGCCCGUCACUCUCCC